This 274-nucleotide unclassified non-coding RNA is filed under the name plant metagenome. RNAcentral describes it as "partial contains small subunit ribosomal RNA and internal transcribed spacer 1". The stretch from base 1 to 46 matches the Rfam family "Eukaryotic small subunit ribosomal RNA", at positions 1786 to 1831 of the family's 1831-position model. The record is from RNAcentral.
AAGUCGUAACAAGGUUUCCGUAGGUGAACCUGCGGAAGGAUCAUUAUUGAAUGUUGCUUGAUGGGUUGUAGCUGGCCCUUCGGGGCAUGUGCACGCCUGUCUUGACUACUAUUCAUCCACCUGUGCACACUUUGUAGUCUUUCGGGGUCUGGGAAGCGGCUGACAUUGUCAGUCGUGCUGAACCUCCCUCGGGGACUAUGUCUUUAUUCAUACACCAUGUAGUAUGUUGCAGAAUGUAAUCAAUGGGCCUUUGUGCCUAUAAAACCUUAUACAA